RNAcentral lists this non-coding RNA (180 nucleotides) under Methylomonas paludis. Its description in RNAcentral is "6S / SsrS RNA". It matches the Rfam family "6S / SsrS RNA". From Rfam's summary of the family: E. coli 6S RNA was the first non coding RNA to be sequenced, but its function was unknown until recently. It consists of 184 nucleotides that fold into an extended hairpin structure with a large single-stranded internal bulge. The record is from Rfam by way of RNAcentral. Lineage: Bacteria; Pseudomonadati; Pseudomonadota; Gammaproteobacteria; Methylococcales; Methylococcaceae.
UAUCUCCUGCGGCGUUCGAGCAGUGCUGGGUGUUUCCUGAACCUAUUUUUACCCCGGAAACUUUUUACCUUUCAUGGUGUGCAUGCCUGUUUUUUUCAGGAAGCCUGAUUGACUGGAUUUGUUUCCACUUGAACCUUCGGUUCAAGGACGAAAGCACGAGACGGCGCAGGCGGGAGAUUC